UACAGAGGGUGCGAGCGUUAAUCGGAAUUACUGGGCGUAAAGCGUGCGCAGACGGUCACGUAAGUCGGGUGUGAAAGCCCCGGGCUCAACCUGGGAAUUGCAUUCGAGACUGCUCUGCUAGGGUGCGGAAGAGGGAAGCGGAAUUUCCGGUGUAGCGGUGAAAUGCGUAGAUAUCGGAAGGAACACCAGUGGCGAAAGCGGCUUCCUGGUCCAGCACCGACGUUCAGGCACGAAAGCGUGGGGAGCAAACAGG
RNAcentral lists this ribosomal RNA (253 nucleotides) under uncultured bacterium. Its description in RNAcentral is "partial 16S ribosomal RNA". It matches the Rfam family "Bacterial small subunit ribosomal RNA", at positions 524 to 776 of the family's 1533-position model. The record is from RNAcentral.